RNAcentral lists this transfer RNA (67 nucleotides) under Loxodonta africana (African savanna elephant). It matches the Rfam family "tRNA". Rfam says of the family: Transfer RNA (tRNA) molecules are approximately 80 nucleotides in length. Their secondary structure includes four short double-helical elements and three loops (D, anti-codon, and T loops). Further hydrogen bonds mediate the characteristic L-shaped molecular structure. tRNAs have two regions of fundamental functional importance: the anti-codon, which is responsible for specific mRNA codon recognition, and the 3' end, to which the tRNAs corresponding amino acid is attached (by aminoacyl-tRNA synthetases). tRNAs cope with the degeneracy of the genetic code in two manners: having more than one tRNA (with a specific anti-codon) for a particular amino acid; and 'wobble' base-pairing, i.e. permitting non-standard base-pairing at the 3rd anti-codon position. Lineage: Eukaryota; Metazoa; Chordata; Mammalia; Proboscidea; Elephantidae. The record is from Rfam by way of RNAcentral.
GGUGCUGCAAGUGGUUUGCACUUGGCUGCUAACCAAAAGGUUGGUGGUUAGAAUCCAUCCAACAUCA